GACGAACGCUGGCGGCGUGCUUUAGGCAUGCAAGUCGAACGCGAAAGCCCCUUCGGGGGUGAGUAGAGUGGCGAACGGGUGAGUAACACGUGGGUAACCUGCCCCUCGCAGGGGGAUAACCGGGGGAAACCCCGGCUAAUACCCCGUACGCUUGCUGGGGCGCAUGCUCCGGCAAGGAAAGGUAGCUUCGGCCAUCCGGCGAGGGAGGGGCCCGCGGCCCAUUAGCUAGUUGGUGGGGUAACGGCCCACCAAGGCGACGAUGGGUAGCUGGCCUGAGAGGGUGGUCAGCCACACUGGGCCUGAGACACGGCCCAGCCUCCUACGGGAGGCAGCAGCCAGGAAUCUUGCGCAAUGGGCGAAAGCCUGACGCAGCAACGCCGCGUGGGCGAUGAAGGCCUUCGGGUCGUAAAGCCCUGUUGUCGGGGACGAAGGGCGAAGGGUUAAUAGCCCCUAGCCUGACGGUACCCGACGAGGAAGCCCCGGCUAACUACGUG
RNAcentral lists this ribosomal RNA (494 nucleotides) under uncultured bacterium. RNAcentral describes it as "partial 16S ribosomal RNA". It matches the Rfam family "Bacterial small subunit ribosomal RNA", at positions 28 to 507 of the family's 1533-position model. The record is from RNAcentral.